GGAUGUGAGGGCGAUCUGGCUGCAACAUCUGCCACCCCACUGAUCGCCAGGGUUGAUUCGGCUGAUCUGGCUGGCUAGGCGGGUGUCCCCUUCCUCCCUCACCGCUCCAUGUGCGUUCCUCCCGAGCUACAUGCUCACUCUCAGUCGAAAAGAAUGACCUUCUCCACUAGAAGAGGAGGACCAGUCUUCGGUCAAGGGUAUAGGGUAGCUGCGCUCCCCUGCUAGAACCUCCAAACAAGCUCCCCAAGUGCUACUUUAACAACUGAGGCAAUGUCCAAUCUUAAGACACAGUAAGAUUCUCCCAAUUACACACAGACACAGUCAUGGAUGUUUUG
Molecule: small nuclear RNA, 335 nt
Filed under: Microcebus murinus (gray mouse lemur)
Lineage: Eukaryota; Metazoa; Chordata; Mammalia; Primates; Cheirogaleidae
Description: 7SK RNA (ENSMICG00000024192.3)
Rfam family: 7SK RNA
About the family: 7SK was discovered as an abundant small nuclear RNA in the mid-70s but a possible function has only recently been suggested. Two independent studies have found that 7SK RNA binds the CDK9/cyclin T complex (known as elongation factor P-TEFb).
Source: Rfam by way of RNAcentral